CGGGUGAGUAAUACAUAAGUAACCUGCCCUAAGACAGGGGGAUAACUAUUGGGAAACGAUAGCUAAGACGCAUAGGUACGGACACUGCAUGGUGACCGGUAUUAAAAGUGCCUCAAAGCACUGGUAGAGGAUGGACUUAUGGCGCAUUAGCUGGUUGGCGGGGUAACGGCCCACCAAGGCGACCGAUGCGUAGCCGACCUGAGAGGGUGACCGGCCACACUGGGACUGAGACACGGCCCAGACUCCUACGGGAGGCAGCAUG
Molecule: ribosomal RNA, 262 nt
Filed under: uncultured bacterium
Lineage: Bacteria
Description: partial 16S ribosomal RNA
Rfam family: Bacterial small subunit ribosomal RNA
Source: RNAcentral